Molecule: ribosomal RNA, 482 nt
Filed under: uncultured bacterium
Lineage: Bacteria
Description: partial 16S ribosomal RNA
Rfam family: Bacterial small subunit ribosomal RNA
Source: RNAcentral
AGUGAACGUUGGCGGCGUGGAUUAGGCAUGCAAGUCGAGCGAGAACCGUAGCAAUACGGGGACAGCGGCGAAAGGGACAGUAAUGUGUAGGUACCUACCCCGAGGUCUGGGAUAGCUGCGGGAAACUGCAGGUAAUACCGGAUAAUGUCUUCGGACCAAAGGUGUGAUUCCACCUUGGUAGGGGCCUGCAUCCUAUUAGCUUGUUGGCGGGGUAACGGCCCACCAAGGCGACGAUGGGUAGCGGGUGUGAGAGCACGACCCGCGUCAUUGGGACUGAGGCACUGCCCAGACACCUACGGGUGGCUGCAGUCGAGGAUCUUCGGCAAUGGGCGCAAGCCUGACCGAGCGACGCCGCGUGCGGGAUGAAGGCCUUCGGGUUGUAAACCGCUGUCGUAGGGGAGGAAAUGCAGGUGGGUUCUCCCUCCUGUUUGACCUAUCCUAGGAGGAAGUACGGGCUAAGUUCGUGCCAGCAGCCGCCGUAA